This 494-nucleotide ribosomal RNA is filed under the name uncultured bacterium. Its description in RNAcentral is "partial 16S ribosomal RNA". It matches the Rfam family "Bacterial small subunit ribosomal RNA", at positions 28 to 507 of the family's 1533-position model. The record is from RNAcentral.
GACGAACGCUGGCGGCGUGCUUAACACAUGCAAGUCGAACGGAAAGGCCUGCUUUCCCUUGUGGAUUGCGGGUACUCGAGUGGCGAACGGGUGAGUAACACGUGAGUGAUCUGCCCCCAACUUGGGUAUAAGCCUGGGAAACUGGGUCUAAUUCCCGAUAGGACUGCAGGGUGGUGCCUGUGGUGGAAAACGAUUUUCUAGUGGUUGGGGAUGAGCUCGCGGCCUAUCAGCUUGUUGGUGGGGUAAUGGCCUACCAAGGCGGCGACGGGUAGCCGGCCUGGGAGGGUGGACGGGCACAUUGGGACUGAGAUACGGCCCAGACUCCUACGGGAGGCAGCAGUGGGGAAUAUUGCACGAUGGGCGGAAGCCUGAUGCAGCGACGCCGCGUGGGGGAUGACGGCCUUCGGGUUGUAAACUCCUUUCGACCGCGAGGAAGCCACCUGGUUGGAAGGGUGGUGACGGUAGUGGUAGAAGAAGCACCGGCUAACUACGUG